AACACCGGGAUUGCCUUAGUACGGCGAGUGAAGCGGCAAAAGCUCAAAUUUGAAAUCUGGUACCUUCGGUGCCCGAGUUGUAAUUUGGAGAGGGCAACUUUGGGGCCGUUCCUUGUCUAUGUUCCUUGGAACAGGACGUCAUAGAGGGUGAGAAUCCCGUGUGGCAGGAGUGCGGUUCUUUGUAAAGUGCCUUCGAAGAGUCGGUUGUUUGGGAAUGCAGCUCUAAGUGGGUGGUAAAUUCCAUCUAAAGCUAAAUAUUGGCGAGAGACCGAUAGCGAACAAGUAGUGAUGGAAAGAUGAAAAGAACUUUGAAAAGAGAGUGAAAAAGUACGUGAAAUUGUUGAAAGGGAAGGGCAUUUGAUCAGACAUGGUGUUUUGUGCCCUCUGCUCCUUGUGGGUAGGGGAAUCUCGCAUUUCACUGGGCCAGCAUCAGUUUUGGUGGCAGGAUAAAUCCAUAGGAAUGUAGCUUGCCUCGGUAAGUAUUAUAGCCUGUGGGAAUACUGCCAGCUGGGACUGAGGACUGCGACGUAAGUCAAGGAUGCUGGCAUAAUGGUUAUAUGCCGCCCGUC
Molecule: ribosomal RNA, 569 nt
Filed under: Saccharomyces cerevisiae (brewer's yeast)
Lineage: Eukaryota; Fungi; Ascomycota; Saccharomycetes; Saccharomycetales; Saccharomycetaceae
Description: LSU rRNA
Rfam family: Eukaryotic large subunit ribosomal RNA
Source: RNAcentral